RNAcentral lists this unclassified non-coding RNA (354 nucleotides) under Nocardia farcinica. RNAcentral's name for it is "16S-23S ribosomal RNA intergenic spacer". Lineage: Bacteria; Bacillati; Actinomycetota; Actinomycetes; Mycobacteriales; Nocardiaceae. The record is from RNAcentral.
CUAAGGAGCACUUCUCCACGGACACCCGAGGAGUCGGGAUGGUAAACGUCUUGUGGCAGAGACCGUUUCGGAAGCAGUCGUCUUCCGGCGGGAGCUCAUGGGUGGAACGCUGGCAUGUGCCUCGUGUAUCGGUUGGUCCUGUGUGGCCGGCUGGCGGGGAUGUAGUCGACACACUGUUGGGUCCUGAGAGAACACGCGAGUGACUCUCUAGGCGAAUACAUGAUCCGGAGGGGUCUCCUGUGAUACCGCUGGCUGUCGGUCGGUUGGUCCAGGGUUGAGGUUUCUUCGGGUGUGUUGUUUGAGAACUGCACAGUGGACGCGAGCAUCUUUGUUUGUAAGUGUUUAAGAGCGUUC